Molecule: long non-coding RNA, 1868 nt
Organism: Coregonus clupeaformis (lake whitefish)
Lineage: Eukaryota; Metazoa; Chordata; Actinopteri; Salmoniformes; Salmonidae
Exons: 3
Source: RefSeq, a predicted model, not a curated record
ACUAUACUGAUAUAAAUUGUUUCACAUAACAGGCUGUGAUUCAUGUGUGGAACGUUAGGGGGUAAGAUGAGAUAAGGACUUGUCUCAAAAUAUUAGACUACACUGCUUCUUUGUGAUCUGUGAACCGUCCAAGGACAUGGGUACUGCAAAAAAGUGCUAACUCCACAGGGUUUACAAAUCAGAAGACCAAACUCAGUGAAGUCCUCCAAUACAAUAGUCCACAUGGCUGGCUGUGUUUUGCUACCACCGGAAACAGAAAACGGCAGAAACAGAAAACGGAGGCAGUGGGAUAACCUAUUCAAAGAUCUGUCAAACCCUGUCUGCAGAUUGAGGUCCCAAAAGAGUAAGGGUACAUUAUUGUAUGCCAUGGAUUAUAUGCGUACAUAGCAUAUUUUGUGAACAAAAAUACAGUUCAAAAGUCACACAAUGUAUAAACCUAUUACAACUGGAGCAGGACAACCCUGCUGGGUGUGCACACUUCUGUUCCAGCCCAGCACUAACACACCUGAUUCAAUGUAUCAAACCUAAUUAGUUAAUAAUGAAGUGUGCUAUUGCUGGGCUGGAACAGAAGUCUGCUCACCCAGUAGAUCAGGGAUCAGUGGAGCAAGGUUGGCCACCUCUGGUAUUGACUUUUUUUGUUCACCUGAAAUUGUUUUAUUAAUAAUAGCCUACUUGUUACUAAAAUGUCUUACCUUUACAUAUGAGUUAGCUUACUUGUACACUUUGAAAUGAUAUGAAAGUGUUGGUUCUUUGUUAAGUGUUUAAACAUGUUUUAAUUAACUUAACUAUUAUUGAAGAUGUUGAUUAAUCACAGAUCACAACCCUGCAAUAAAGAGGGGAAGAGAAUGUCUCUGAUUUGUAUGUUUCUGUGUUGUAUUCUCAAAGGAACAUUACCUUUUUGUUCAGUCAUAAGCUUUCCAAUUUGUUUUAUUUGAUUGUCACAAUUAUUUCAGGAUAUCAGCCAUGUGUACCCAUUUUGCAGCUGAUAAUGUCAUCCAAUGCAGUCAUAGGCCUACAGCAGUGGUUCCCAACUCCAGUCCUCGAGUACCCCCAACAGCACACAUUUUUGUUGUAGCCCCGGACAAACAUACCUGACUCAACUCAGAGGGCCUGAUGAUUAGUUGACAAGUUGAAUCAGGUGUGUUUGUCUGGGGCUACAAUAAAACUGUACUCUUGGGAGUACUCAAGGACCGGAGUUGGGAACCACCGGCCUACAGUAGACUGGCAUUAGCCUUAUGGGAAUUUGCAAUGCACCCCUUGACAUUGUGCAUCUGAAGUAGAGAAUAGCUUAACUCGCACACUGUUUACAUAUUGUUCAACUAUAUGUUCUCAAUUUAAAAACGAUACAAGUAGACAAUGUAUAUGAGGCUAAUCAUUAUACUAGAUUUUGUAAAUGCAUUGUGCUGACGUUACAUUUUUUUGGUGCAAAUCCAACCCUUGUAAUCUAGGUGUUGAAAUGUCUGGAAGCAGGAGAUUGGAUCCUUAUCUUAAAACACACACACAACUACUACUACCAAGUCCAAUGCCAGAUACUUUUCUACAAGAAGGUCUGAGCCACUGUGAUAAUGAAGUUUUCCUAAGACUACCACAACAAUUACAUUGUCUGUGCUAAAUGUGUUUAAAUUGUAAAGAAAGAAAAUAGUUGGCAUAUAAGAAAUACUUUUUAUUCAAUGGGGCUAGGCAAAGCAGAGAUACCAAUACUUUUAAUUUCACCCAUACAACAAUAUAGCCUAUUAUUAAAGUACAGUAUGUUUACAAUAUCAUAUAGUAUUUUACACGUUCCAAAUUACAUUUGAUAUAUUCAUACUGUUUAAGGGGGCACUUUUGUCAUGACGACACGGUGAUGGUGCUCUACUCAAAUGACACAA